AUGCGUCAGCUGCCAGGGUUUGUUGAUCCUGAUCAGCCGCAUCAUUUGUGUCGUCUUGACAAGGCUCUCUAUGGUCUGAAGCAGACCCCUCAUGCAUGGCAUGCGUGUCUUGGAGCUGCUCUUCGUGCGCAUGGUUUUGUGCCUUCUACAGCGGAUACAUCUCUGUUUAUUCUUCAGCGACCGGAGGUGACUAUAUACAUUCUGGUCUAUGUUGAUGAUAUCAUUCUUGUCAGUUCAUCUGCUUCUGCUACGGAUCGGCUUGUGUCCUUUCUCAGUGCUGAGUUUGCUGUUAAAGAUCUUGGGAGACUCCAUUACUUCCUGGGUCUAGAGGUGUUUCAUUCUCAUGGUGGUCUAACUCUUACUCAGAGGAAGUACUCUCAGGAUCUUCUACGUCGUGCUGGUAUGUUGCAAUGCAAGACCGCCGCGACUCCUAUGUCUGCCACAGACAAAUUGACGGCUUUUGAUGGUGAUUUGCUCUCUCCUGAGGAUGCCACAGAGUAUUGCAGUAUUGUUGGAGGGCUGCAGUACUUGCUCGUUACUCGCCCUGACAUAUCUUUUGCUGUUAACCGUGUGUGCCAGUACCUUCAUGCACCGCGUGCUCCUCACUGGUCUGCUGUUAAGCGCAUCUUGCGCUAUAUUCGUCACACUGGUUCAUAUGGUCUCCAUCUUCAGCCUGCACGUUCUGGACUGAUUUCAGCAUUUUCUAAUGCCGAUUGGGCUGGUAGUCCUGAUGAUCGGCGAUCCACGGGGGGACAUGCUGUGUUCUUUGGUCCUAACUUGAUUGCCUGGCAAGCUCGCAAGCAAGCUACGGUGUCUCGAAGUAGUACCGAAGCUGAGUACAAAGCCGUUGCUAAUGCCACAGCUGAGAUCAUAUGGGUGCAGUCAUUGCUUCGAGAGUUGAAGGUCUCCCCAAGUCAGCCGCCUGUUCUUUGGUGUGAUAACAUUGGUGCCACAUACCUUUCAUCCAAUCCAGUGUUUCAUGCCAGAACAAAGCACAUCGAAGUUGACUAUCAUUUUGUGAGGGAACGUGUUGCUCAGAAGCUCCUUCAGAUUAAGUUUAUUUCUUCUAAGGAUCAGCUUGCUGAUAUUUUCACUAAACCCUUGCCCUUGCCUUCUUUCGAGGAUGUCGUAGCAAUCUUAACCUCCUGA
RNAcentral lists this ribosomal RNA (1149 nucleotides) under Triticum aestivum (bread wheat). Its description in RNAcentral is "partial small subunit ribosomal RNA". The record is from RNAcentral. Lineage: Eukaryota; Viridiplantae; Streptophyta; Magnoliopsida; Poales; Poaceae.